CUUGCUGUCGUUUCAUGUACAUAAUGUGUUUACUGGGUUGAAUUGACCAUUUCUACUCUCCAACAUGAUUAGUCUUCAUGGUGAGCUAAAUUCUUCUUUUUUGACUGUUCAGCCAUGUGGUAAGGUCCUAGCUAGUCCAUUGAAAGAAAGAAAAGGAAAAGGAGAAAAAUUAUCGUCUUAUGUUCUUCACCAUCUAAUAAGAAAAAUGUGAAAUGUUUCGGGUUUUUGAUUUUAAUUUUUUUUUUAUGUAACUAGAUGCUAUUGACCUGAGAAGGAAAUUAUGAAGAAAAAGUUGCAUGAGCUUAACAUAUUAUGCUUAGAACGAUGUUCAAGGUUCCAUACCUACAUCAUAUCCAACAGUUGUGUCUACACAUACAUGAGCAUGUGUUGCACUUUGCUUAAAUAUGCAAUAUAUUAGUAUUCAAGCCCACUUUUAUUGGUAUAUAUUUGUAUGUUUUUGCUAACUAUUACUUAGUAAUUGUUGUCCAUAUCAUAAGAUUAUUGCUGGCUAAUUCAUUUUAGGCGGUGCUACUCAGAAGGAGGUCACAGCUUGUGGGUUACUUUCUAAUAGAGAUAUCUACGAGGUUGUAACUGAUAUUCCAUUUUAUGUCGAUUAUUGACUUGAACAUUCGUCCAUAGCAAAGAUAGUUAUAAGUUUUUGUCCUUUGCUAGCUACUUCAUUUUCAUGUUUCAACAUGGCAAGCAACUUUCGGACAGUUAUGUUUUCUGUACAUGCCAUUCUGUAUUUGUCCCACCUUUUCCUUUCAUUUGUCUUUCUCAUUCCAGCUCAAUCUAAAAGCAUGUUGAUGGAGAACCAAGAAACUAGAAGGGAGGAAGCCCCAGAAUUGUUGCUUUCAGAGCAGAAGAUAUCACUUGAAAGUUGCACAAGGCUGCUCCACUUGUGAAAACCUUGCACCUCUUGUACCUCAUUUGUAAGGUUUGUUAUGGUAUGAUAUGAUAGUGGUCACCACCAGGCUCACUUGCCUCCAUUCAAAAGACUAACGAAUGUACCUUUUACUGUGCUGUAUGCUGGAAUUAUUUACCAUAGAAUUGAUCCAAGGCGCAUGGAACAAUUAAGUGAAUAGUGCCUAAUGUUGGGUCAUUUUCUACACCUCCGUAAGACUAGCUUAAGCCCUUUACUUUAUGUAAUGAGACAUUAAACCUUAUCAUCAUUGAUGUAUAGUAUACCCUCUUCUUAGCUUCUAUUCAAAAGUAGUCAAUUCCUUGAAUCAAACCCAAAGGAAUGGAUUGUAACCUACUUGCUCUGGUCUAGUUCCAACUCUCAAUUAAGUAAAAAUUGUCAUAGCUUUCAUAUGGCAGCAGUUUAAAAGUUUGGAGAGAAACCUUUUCCAUCAGAAAGUCAAAUGAUACUUCAAAUUACAAUUUGAAAGUACUCUAUAUGUAUGAGAAUGUACUUGAACAUGAUGAGGAACUUCAUGAUUAGUUUAUUUUCUGGGUGCAUA
This is a long non-coding RNA of Quercus lobata, 1463 nucleotides long. RefSeq lists it as uncharacterized. Lineage: Eukaryota; Viridiplantae; Streptophyta; Magnoliopsida; Fagales; Fagaceae. The transcript has 2 exons. The record is from RefSeq and is a predicted model, not a curated record.